GAGGGUGUAGCUCAGUGGUAGAGCACGUGCUUUGCACGUAUGAGGUCCUGGGUUCAAUCCCCAGUGCCUCCA
This is a transfer RNA of Camelus ferus (Wild Bactrian camel), 72 nucleotides long. It matches the Rfam family "tRNA". From Rfam's summary of the family: Transfer RNA (tRNA) molecules are approximately 80 nucleotides in length. Their secondary structure includes four short double-helical elements and three loops (D, anti-codon, and T loops). Further hydrogen bonds mediate the characteristic L-shaped molecular structure. tRNAs have two regions of fundamental functional importance: the anti-codon, which is responsible for specific mRNA codon recognition, and the 3' end, to which the tRNAs corresponding amino acid is attached (by aminoacyl-tRNA synthetases). tRNAs cope with the degeneracy of the genetic code in two manners: having more than one tRNA (with a specific anti-codon) for a particular amino acid; and 'wobble' base-pairing, i.e. permitting non-standard base-pairing at the 3rd anti-codon position. NCBI's taxonomy places the organism in Eukaryota, Metazoa, Chordata, Mammalia, Artiodactyla, Camelidae. The record is from Rfam.